UGUGGGGGGCGGGCGGUUUGGCGAGGGGAGGACGGCACGAGGUUUGGUCAGACAUUAGAGGACAUCCCCAACCACUUCAAAGCUAAAAAUGAAAUGCCUUUGGAUGCUCAUUGUACUUGCCAGCAUCAUCAAAUUAGGGGGCUGCCUGCAGUGCUUUCAGAACAGCCUAACUCCUUUAAAUUGCAAGAUGAAAACCAUCUCCUGUGAAGAUACUGAACAUUGCUUCAAAAGGGUGGGUAAAUUAAAGAAGAGUGUGUUUACAAGUCGCGGAUGCAUUCUGCCUGAUAUUUGCAAGAAAAGUGUUACAAACACAUUUGCUGGAUUGUCGGUCACUCUGAAAACGAUGUGCUGUACGAAAGAACUGUGUAAUGGAGGCAAGGAUAUGACGGCACCUCUUGCACUGAGCUCUGUGCUGCUGCUUGGCUGGUUCUUGUGUGUUAACAUGUAAUCAUGACUACUGUAAACCCUCGUUAUAUUGGAACAUCGGGGAGGGGGAAUGAUGCCUGUUAUUGCUGGUUGUCUGCCACAACUGAGUAAGGUAUUAUCAUGUGUAAGAAGCAACUGCAGAUGCUGGUUUAAACCUAAGGUAGACACAAAAUGCUGGAGUAACUCAGCGGGACAGGCAGCAUCUCUGCAGAGAAGGAAUGCGUGACGUUUCGGGUCGAGACCCUUCUUUAGACUAUCAAAAGACAAUAGGUGCAGGAGUAGGCCAUUCGGCCCUUCGAGCCAGCACCACCAUUCAAUGUGAUCAUGGCUGAUCAUCCACAAUCUGUACCCCGUUCCUGCCUUCUCCCCAUAUCCCCUGACUCCGCUAUCUUUAAGAGCCCUAUCUAGCUCUCUCUUGAAAGUAUCUAGAGAACCAGCCUCCACCGCCCUCUGAGGCAAAGAAUUGCACAGACUCACAACUGUGUGAAAAAAUGUUUCCUCAUCUCUGUUCUAAAUGGCUUUCCCCUUAUUCUUAAACUGUGGCCCCUAGUUCUGGACUCCCCCAACAUCGGGAACAUGUUUCCUGCCUCUAGCGUGUCCAAACCCUUAAUAAUCUUAAAGGUUUCAAUAAGAUAUCUUCUCAUCCUUCUAAUUUCCAGAGUAUACAAGCCCAGCCGCUUCAUUCUCUUGGCAUAUGACAGUCCCGCCAUCCCGGGAAUUAACCUUGUAAACCUACGCUGCACUCCCUCAAUAGCAAGAAUGUCCUUCCGUAAAUUAUCAUUGUGUGUAGUUGAACCAAAGAAAAGCAGAUGAUGGUUAAUCCACAACAAGAGACACAGAAUGUUGAUGUAUCUCAGCAGAAGAAGGUUCUCGACCCGAAAUGUCACCCAUUCCUUUUCUACAGAGGAUGUUGUCCGACCCACUGAUUUACUCCAGCUUUUUGUGUCUAUCUUCAGUUUAAAUUAGCAUCUGCAGUUCCUUCCCACACAGAUCAGACAGCAUCGUUGGAGCACAUGCAAGGGUGACGUCGGGACCCUUCUUCAGAAUGAUUCAGUGAGCUCAGAUGCUCCAGCCUUAUCCACAUACUCUGGAAUUGUCUUUGUGUGUAACAAAUGGCUACAGUUGACAAUCUUAAGUACUUUAAGGUUGUUUUCUGAUGUUACAUGUCAUCAUAAUAUAACCAGUGAGUUCUAAAUUACUGCUUGUAUUUAAUAACUUUCUGCUUCUAAUUGUAAUUCCCCAUGUCUGUGUUUGGCUGUACAAUUUUACAUAAAAUUGUUUUAUU
Long non-coding RNA from Leucoraja erinaceus (little skate), 1711 nucleotides. RefSeq lists it as uncharacterized. The transcript has 4 exons. The record is from RefSeq and is a predicted model, not a curated record. NCBI's taxonomy places the organism in Eukaryota, Metazoa, Chordata, Chondrichthyes, Rajiformes, Rajidae.